Molecule: ribosomal RNA, 276 nt
Filed under: uncultured prokaryote
Description: partial 16S ribosomal RNA
Rfam family: Bacterial small subunit ribosomal RNA
Source: RNAcentral
UACAUAGGGGGCUAGCGUUAUCCGGAAUUACUGGGCGUAAAGGGUGCGUAGGUGGUUUCUUAAGUCAGAGGUGAAAGGCUACGGCUCAACCGUAGUAAGCCUUUGAAACUGAGAAACUUGAGUGCAGGAGAGGAGAGUAGAAUUCCUAGUGUAGCGGUGAAAUGCGUAGAUAUUAGGAGGAAUACCAGUUGCGAAGGCGGCUCUCUGGACUGUAACUGACACUGAGGCACGAAAGCGUGGGGAGCAAACAGGAUUAGAUACCCCGGUAGUCCCUGA